This 626-nucleotide ribosomal RNA is filed under the name Glaesserella parasuis. RNAcentral describes it as "bacterial SSU rRNA". It matches the Rfam family "Bacterial small subunit ribosomal RNA", at positions 512 to 1140 of the family's 1533-position model. The record is from RNAcentral. Lineage: Bacteria; Pseudomonadati; Pseudomonadota; Gammaproteobacteria; Pasteurellales; Pasteurellaceae.
CAGCCGCGGUAAUACGGAGGGUGCGAGCGUUAAUCGGAAUGACUGGGCGUAAAGGGCACGCAGGCGGUGACUUAAGUGAGAUGUGAAAGCCCCGAGCUUAACUUGGGAAUUGCAUUUCAUACUGGGUGGCUAGAGUAUUUUAGGGAGGGGUAGAAUUCCACGUGUAGCGGUGAAAUGCGUAGAGAUGUGGAGGAAUACCGAAGGCGAAGGCAGCCCCUUGGGAAAAUACUGACGCUCAUGUGCGAAAGCGUGGGGAGCAAACAGGAUUAGAUACCCUGGUAGUCCACGCUGUAAACGCUGUCGAUUUGGGGAUUGGGCUUAGAGCUUGGUGCCCGUAGCUAACGUGAUAAAUCGACCGCCUGGGGAGUACGGCCGCAAGGUUAAAACUCAAAUGAAUUGACGGGGGCCCGCACAAGCGGUGGAGCAUGUGGUUUAAUUCGAUGCAACGCGAAGAACCUUACCUACUCUUGACAUCCUAAGAAGAACUCAGAGAUGAGUUUGUGCCUUCGGGAACUUAGAGACAGGUGCUGCAUGGCUGUCGUCAGCUCGUGUUGUGAAAUGUUGGGUUAAGUCCCGCAACGAGCGCAACCCUUAUCCUUUGUUGCCAGCGAUUUGGUCGGGAACUC